RNAcentral lists this unclassified non-coding RNA (304 nucleotides) under fungal sp. Its description in RNAcentral is "partial internal transcribed spacer region". The stretch from base 1 to 45 matches the Rfam family "Eukaryotic small subunit ribosomal RNA", at positions 1787 to 1831 of the family's 1831-position model. Lineage: Eukaryota; Fungi. The record is from RNAcentral.
AGUCGUAACAAGGUAUCCGUAGGUGAACCUGCGGAUGGAUCAUUAACAAAGGUGAUUUUGAAGUUGUGUGAACAGUUGGAGGUGGUGGUGGUGGUGGUGGUAUUGGGUGGUACUGGGUGGUAUUGGGUGGUAUUGGGUGGUAUUGAGUGGUGUAACCUUGGUCUAACCUUGGUCAACCUCACUCAACCUCACUCUCCCAACCUCACUCUCCCAACCUCCACCACUCCGUCCCUAUAAUGUAUACAAACUGAUGUCUGCUAGUUUCAAACUAAAACAACUUUUAGCAACGGAUCUCUUGGCUCUC